This 94-nucleotide transfer RNA is filed under the name Streptomyces plicatus. RNAcentral describes it as "tRNA-Thr". The record is from RNAcentral. Lineage: Bacteria; Bacillati; Actinomycetota; Actinomycetes; Kitasatosporales; Streptomycetaceae. RNAcentral also lists the same sequence under 5 other names.
GUACGUCCAGGGCCAGCCGGCGGGCCAGCGGCACCUUGUAGGCGUUGUCCCGCAGCGGUUCGGCGGCGGCCAGUUCCAGGUCGACGGCGUGCUC